This 207-nucleotide ribosomal RNA is filed under the name uncultured bacterium. Its description in RNAcentral is "partial 16S ribosomal RNA". It matches the Rfam family "Bacterial small subunit ribosomal RNA", at positions 28 to 243 of the family's 1533-position model. The record is from RNAcentral.
GACGAACGCUGGCGGCGUGCUUAACACAUGCAAGUCACGGGGGUCCCGCAAGGGAUAACCGGCGAACGGGUGCGUAACACGUGAACAACCUGCCCUCGUGUGGGGGAUAGCCAUGCUAACGCGUGGGUAAUACCGCAUACGGUCCUUUGGGGGAGUCCCCUGGGGGAAGAAAGCUCCGGCGCACGGGGAGGGGUUCGCGGCCUAUCA